Molecule: long non-coding RNA, 249 nt
Filed under: Lathyrus oleraceus (garden pea)
Lineage: Eukaryota; Viridiplantae; Streptophyta; Magnoliopsida; Fabales; Fabaceae
Description: Pisum sativum (pea) long non-coding RNA (PSAT_LNC025273)
Source: RNAcentral
UUUCUCUCCCUCUCCACUCCUUAAAGCGUCAGGUGCAAACAACCUUCCACUGCGAGUGAAACCACUGGGUCCGGCAUUAUCCACCUUUGAAACGGCGGCUUCACUUGCAGUUUGAUCCUCUAACUUCUCCCCAUUACAGUACACCUCCCCACCAUAAUGCCACGGCACGGCAUCAUCUUUGUCAUAAGGAAUUGGCCCAGGUACCGUGAUAGUAACUGGAGCCGCAUCUGCCAGCGUUGACAAAUCAAC